This 636-nucleotide ribosomal RNA is filed under the name uncultured Bacilli bacterium. Its description in RNAcentral is "bacterial SSU rRNA". It matches the Rfam family "Bacterial small subunit ribosomal RNA", at positions 97 to 718 of the family's 1533-position model. The record is from RNAcentral. Lineage: Bacteria; Bacillati; Bacillota; Bacilli.
GGCGGACGGGUGAGUAACACGUGGGUAACCUGCCCUAAAGUGGGGGAUAACAUUUGGAACACAGAUGCUAAUACCGCAUAAAACCUAACACCGCAUGGUGUAGGGUUGAAAGAUGGUUUCAGGCUAUCACUUUAGGAUGGACCCGCGGUGCAUUAGUUAGUUGGUGAGGUAAAGGCUCACCAAGACCGUGAUGCAUAGCCGACCUGAGAGGGUAAUCGGCCACACUGGGACUGAGACACGGCCCAGACUCCUACGGGAGGCAGCAGUAGGGAAUCUUCCACAAUGGACGGAAGUCUGAUGGAGCAACGCCGCGUGAGUGAAGAAGGUUUUCGGAUCGUAAAACUCUGUUGUUGGAGAAGAAUGUAUCUGAUAGUAACUGAUCAGGUAGUGACGGUAUCCAACCAGGAAGCCACGGCUAACUACGUGCCAGCAGCCGCGGUAAUACGUAGGUGGCAAGCGUUGUCCGGAUUUAUUGGGCGUAAAGCGAGCGCAGGCGGUUUCUUAAGUCUGAUGUGAAAGCCUUCGGCUCAACCGAAGAAGUGCAUCGGAAACUGGGAAACUUGAGUGCAGAAGAGGACAGUGGACUCCAUGUGUAGCGGUGAAAUGCGUAGAUAUAUGGAAGAACACCAGUGGCGA